AUUUCAUGUAAAGGAACUGACGUAUACUAUAGAUUCACCUAAAUCGAGGCUCCAUCUAGAACUGUGACACCUGAAGUAAAAACAAGCAUCAAGUACAUCUUUUAGUAGUAGUGUGAAAAGAAAGAAAGUAUCUACAUUACCUUUGAAAAAUUCCAAAUCAUCUUGUAAGUCAAUAGAUAUGUGUUUUAGGUAGCAGAUUUUUUUUGUAAUUAUCUAACUGUAUGCAAAUGAACUUGUAAAUAAUGUAAAUACAUUUAUAAAGCAAUUUUAUGAAAUAAAAAAAUAUGAUAUUUUAAUUGUUUUUUAUUUAUUUUACUACUAUGUCGUUAAAUCUAGCAAAUUUUGAUCUUUCAUUUCUACUAACUAUCACUCAAUAUUGAUACUAAUUCACCACUUCGCCAGUAAACC
RNAcentral lists this unclassified non-coding RNA (408 nucleotides) under Melitaea cinxia (Glanville fritillary). RNAcentral describes it as "misc RNA ENSMCXG00005015876.1". The record is from RNAcentral. Lineage: Eukaryota; Metazoa; Arthropoda; Insecta; Lepidoptera; Nymphalidae.